This 805-nucleotide long non-coding RNA is filed under the name Homo sapiens (human). Its description in RNAcentral is "MIR646 host gene". Lineage: Eukaryota; Metazoa; Chordata; Mammalia; Primates; Hominidae. The record is from RNAcentral.
GGGGUGCACCAGGGCAGCAGCUACAGGGCUCUCCUCCCAAGCACCCAACGAGCAAGAUGGGUCUGAGGAUACCUGUGAGAAGUAAUUCAACACAUCUUUCACACAUGGGCCAAUUUGCUGGUCUAAGUUAAAUUGGAGUGACAAGGACAGCUGCUUAAAGAAGACGAGGUUUCACCGUGUUAGACAGGAUGGUUUCGAUCUCCUGACCUCGUGAUCUGCGUGCCUCGACCUCCCAAAGUGCUGGGAUUACAGGCUUGAGCCGCCACGUCCGGCCUCAGACCAUUUUUCUAGAGAUGCAAGCUACAGAUGACAGAGCCGAGGUCGUCUCCUCCAGGUCCCAGAGCUGCUAUGUGGCUGAGCUGCAGUUCAGAGCCAGGGUGACUCAGCUUGCAAGCCUGUGCUCCUCACCUCCGUGGCAUGCUUCUCCCAGGCUGGCACUGAAUCACCGGAAGGACUCCUUAAGACAUGGAUAGGGGAUCCACCCCAGAGGUCCUGAAUCAGCAAGUCUGGGGAGGAGACUGAGAAUUGACUUUUCUAUCAAGUUCCCCAGUGAUGCUGAUGCUGCUGGUGUGCGUACCACGUUCUGGAACCUCCGCUCCCUGCUCUAGGGCCUUCUGGGUGGAGCCCUAGAGCUGAGCUCCCAGCUGUGGGCAUGGCAGGCACUGAAGAGUGUUGCUUUAGGGUAAUGUGUUAACAGUCUAAGAAGGUGCGUGGUGAGUAGGCUGACCAUUUCUCUCUCUUAUUGAACAAAAUAUUGCUAAGCCCUGGAUUUUCUCAGCUGUAAAUCACUGAAAUCUGAAUAAAA